Non-coding RNA from Danio rerio (zebrafish), 1512 nucleotides. The record is from RefSeq and is a predicted model, not a curated record. Lineage: Eukaryota; Metazoa; Chordata; Actinopteri; Cypriniformes; Danionidae.
GAGGAGCUCAAUACAGCACUGAAAUAUUUACAGGAGAAACUGAAACACAAUGAAGAAAAGAAAGCAGAGUUUGAGAAAACAGUUCAACACAUCAAGUUUCAAGCUGAUCACACAGAGCGUCAGAUUAAACAUGAGUUUGAGAAGCUUCAUCAGUUUCUCCGAGAUGAAGAAGAAGCUGCAAUCACUGCACUGAGGGAGGAAGAGGAGCAGAAGAAGCAGAUGAUGAAGGAGAAGCUGGAGGAGAUGAACACACACAUCUCAGCUCUUUCACACACGAUCAAAGACACGGAGGAGAUGCUGAAAGCCAAUGACGUCUGCUUUCUAAAGGAGUUUCCAGUCUCGAUGGAAAGAGUCCAGAUCUCACAGCCGGAUCCACAGACGCCUUCUGGAGCUUUGAUUCAUGUGUGUCGCUACUUGGGGAACCUGCCGUUCAGAGUCUGGAAGAAGAUGCAGGACAUCGUCCACUACACUCCUGUCAUUCUGGAUCCAAACACUGCAAAUCCACGUCUCGUCCUGUCUGAUGAUCUGACCAGUGUGAGGUUCAACAACAAAAAUCAACCUGUUCCUGAUAAUCCAGAAAGAUUUAACUAUUAUUGGUGUGUUCUGGCUUCAGAGGGUUUUACCUCAGGGAAACACUGCUGGGAUGUGGAGGUUAAAAAGUAUUGUUACUGGUGGAGUCUUGGAGUAACUACAGCAUCAAAGGACAGGAAAAGAAGUGAUUUCUUUAACACUGGUGUCUGGAGUGUGCAGUGUGGUACUACUGUAGGCUCUGGCGUUACUGUUAAUCAGGAUCUUGAGCGUGUGAGAGUUGAUCUAGACUGUGACAGAGGAAUAGUGUCUUUCUCUGAUCCUGUAACAAACACACAUCUACACACAUUCACAACCACCUUCACUGAAUCUGUCUUUCCUUUCUUUAAUGGUUCAGCCUCUCUGAGGAUCUUACCGUUCAGUAGUCAGUAAAAGUUACACCUGUAGGUCUGGAUCUUCUUUCUUCAUGUUUUCAAUAUUUAAUCCACAUUAAACCCGGCUCACACUGUGCAAUGUUUAAUAAUCCUAUAGAAUCCUGUCAAUCCUUCAUAAACGUGACUCUUGUGUCACACUGUAAUAUCUCAUAAUGUCAUAAUGUCAGACUGAACAACAACAAACACACACAUGCACACAAACACACACAUGCAAGAAAACUCAUGCAGAGACUGACAUAAUCCAUCUUUGACACUUCCACUAACCUGCGUUCUGACAUUAUAUCUCACAACAACCUUAAAGGGGUGGUCCAGAAUGUAAUUUUAAGGCUUGGUUGUGUUUAUAAGAUGCAAAGUGUGUGCUUAUGGUUCACUUGAAGGAAAUAGUGUUAUUUUUUCAUAUAUGUCACUUUGAUUAUACACAGCUACUCAGCUAACAUGAAAACGACUGUCAUGUUUCCUAGUUCCCCUAAAAGACCCACCCUCAAGUGACUCUGAUUGGUCAUCGUCAUAAUGUGCUGCUAUUGGCGGAUCGGCUCCACAUCACGCCCGU